This 447-nucleotide ribosomal RNA is filed under the name uncultured bacterium. RNAcentral's name for it is "partial 16S ribosomal RNA". It matches the Rfam family "Bacterial small subunit ribosomal RNA", at positions 354 to 797 of the family's 1533-position model. The record is from RNAcentral.
GUAGGGAAUAUUGGACAAUGGGGGGAACCCUGAUCCAGCCAUGCCGCGUGGAGGAAGACUGCCCUCUGGGUUGUAAACUCCUUUUAUAUGGGAAGAACCGUCCUCAUUAAUGAGUGACCUGACGGUACCAUAGGAAUAAGCACCGGCUAACUCCGUGCCAGCAGCCGCGGUAAUACGGAGGGUGCAAGCGUUAUCCGGAUUCACUGGGUUUAAAGGGUGCGUAGGCGGAUAAAUAAGUCAGUGGUGAAAUCAACGGGCUCAACCUGUUAACUGCCAUUGAUACUGUGUAUCUUGAAUAUGAGAGAGGUAGGCGGAAUGUUGCAUGUAGCGGUGAAAUGCUUAGAUAUGCUACGGAACACCGAUUGCGAAGGCAGCUUACUAUUUCGUAAUUGACGCUGAGGCACGAAAGCGUGGGUAGCGAACAGGAUUAGAAACCCGAGUAGUCCU